UACGGAGGAUGCGAGCGUUAUCCGGAUUUAUUGGGUUUAAAGGGUGCGCAGGCGGAUUUUUAAGUCAGCGGUCAAAUCGUGGGGCUCAACCCCAUCCAGCCGUUGAAACUGGGGAUCUAGAGUGUGCGAGAGGUAUGCGGAAUGCGUGGUGUAGCGGUGGAAUGCAUAGAUAUCACGCAGAACCCCGAUUGCGAAGGCAGCAUACCGGUGCACAACUGACGCUCAGGCACGAAAGCGUGGGUAUCGAACAGG
This 252-nucleotide ribosomal RNA is filed under the name uncultured bacterium. RNAcentral describes it as "partial 16S ribosomal RNA". It matches the Rfam family "Bacterial small subunit ribosomal RNA", at positions 524 to 776 of the family's 1533-position model. The record is from RNAcentral.